GGGGAAUAUUGCACAAUGGGGGAAACCCUGAUGCAGCGACGCCGCGUGAGUGAUGAAGUAUUUCGGUAUGUAAAACUCUAUCAGCAGGGAAGAUAAUGACGGUACCUGACUAAGAAGCACCGGCUAAAUACGUGCCAGCAGCCGCGGUAAUACGUAUGGUGCAAGCGUUAUCCGGAUUUACUGGGUGUAAAGGGUGCGUAGGCGGUAUGGCAAGUCAGAAGUGAAAGGCUGGGGCUCAACCCCGGGACUGCUUUUGAAACUGUCAAACUAGAGUACAGGAGAGGAAAGCGGAAUUCCUAGUGUAGCGGUGAAAUGCGUAGAUAUUAGGAGGAACACCAGUGGCGAAGGCGGCUUUCUGGACUGAAACUGACACUGAGGCACGAAAGCGUGGGGAGCAAAC
Molecule: ribosomal RNA, 400 nt
Filed under: uncultured bacterium
Lineage: Bacteria
Description: bacterial SSU rRNA
Rfam family: Bacterial small subunit ribosomal RNA
Source: RNAcentral